UCUUUCUAUCUUAUUCUCUCUCAGUCAUUCUUCUCUCUUUCUUCCCUUUGUUGCAUUGGCGGCUGGGCUUAACUCUUCCCUUUCCCCUUCCCCUUCCCUCUGCCUCACGCCAGCCAGCACCUCCCUAUCCUCUCACGGUCAUGAAGUCGACAACAACCCUCCCUAUCCUAUCCUCUCACAGUGGCUCACGACUCAGCCCUCUCUCUCACGAUAUCACUCGAAGUUGUACUCUCACAGCCCACCACAAGUACAGUCGGUGACACUCUAAGUCUAAGGCUCUCCUUCUCCGACGUUACUCCUUUUCUGCGUCAUCCUUCUCCGGUGGCACUCCGGGUUCGAGUCCCUUUGCUUCACAGAGGCUCAUGGCUAAAAGAGUGCAUAUAGUAAUAUGGUGGGUCAUGUAUUACCUAUGUUCCUGAGAAUCUUGGCAGUGAAUCUCAGAGCUGGAGUGGGACGGAUAAAAACAACUGAAAUAUCAAGGAGCAUGUUGUCAUAGUUGCUUGAUACAACCAUGAAAUGAACGUUGGAUUUUGGAUUGGACUUUGUUUUCCAUCUACUCUUUUGAACUUGAUUUGUGUUGUAGUGGACCAAGACUUAGAUUUAAUUUGUGUUGUAUUGUACUAUGGACUUUGGACUUUAAGUUUAAAAUUUAACCAUGUAUUGUGAUUUGUGGUUGCAGGCCUUUGGUUUUAAUUGUGUGUUAUUUUGGAUUGGAUAAUAACAUUGGACUUUUGAUAAUGUGUUGUGAUUUGAGGUUAUGCUUAUGGACUUUUAAUUAUGUUUCAAACUAUCAAAUUUGUGGAUGUAACUAUGUUCUAUGU
Long non-coding RNA from Humulus lupulus (European hop), 821 nucleotides. RefSeq lists it as uncharacterized. The record is from RefSeq and is a predicted model, not a curated record. NCBI's taxonomy places the organism in Eukaryota, Viridiplantae, Streptophyta, Magnoliopsida, Rosales, Cannabaceae. The transcript has 3 exons.